UACGGGGGGGGCAAGCGUUGUUCGGAAUUACUGGGCGUAAAGGGCUCGUAGGCGGCCAACUAAGUCAAACGUGAAAUCCCUCGGCUUAACCGGGGAACUGCGUCUGAUACUGGAUGGCUUGAGUUUGGGAGAGGGAUGCGGAAUUCCAGGUGUAGCGGUGAAAUGCGUAGAUAUCUGGAGGAACACCGGUGGCGAAGGCGGCAUCCUGGACCGACACUGACACUGAGGAGCGAAAGCCAGGGGAGCAAACGGG
RNAcentral lists this ribosomal RNA (253 nucleotides) under uncultured bacterium. Its description in RNAcentral is "partial 16S ribosomal RNA". It matches the Rfam family "Bacterial small subunit ribosomal RNA", at positions 524 to 776 of the family's 1533-position model. The record is from RNAcentral.